GAACGUGAACAGACGCUGUCUGGCAGCUCUCGUAAAAACUGACUGGAGAAGAGAUUCUGAGUCAUUUCAUUUAUUGCCACCACAGUCCUGCAAGAAAGCUACCCCCUUCCUCCUCACAAUUUUUUGUUAAAGAUUAUUAACCAGUAUGAUAAUAGAAGCUACAAGAUCAAUCUUCAGGCCACAGAAAUCAGUUGUAAUUCAAUGGAGAGACUUUCAGAACAACAAGACCAAGAAGAGAGAACAUACAGCAUGGUUGGUGUAUAGAGGAGCAGAGUGUGCACGACAAUCGAAAAAGAUGAAUGGAUGAAUUCUCCGAGCACUGGACGGUUUACAAAACAGAAAAUUAAAUAUAUUUUUAUUAAUUGUAAUUAUAAUUCUAAAUCCUAAAGUAACACAGGAAGCUCUCAAGUAAAUACAAACAAGGACAUACUGGAUUUCUAUCUCACUGUUACUAGAACUCCUAAAUGUACUUCAAAAUAAAAUGCCAAACGGUAGCUCUGCCUUCAGUGACGACUUUUAUGUUUUCUAAAAAUCCAUUCCUACAUCUGUGUUACACCAUCUAGUUGAGAGACGUAAAGGAAGUAGUAAACACACGCAUGCCCUAUCAUAUAAAUGCAUUUAAACAAUAUAUAAAGCAUACCUUGAGUAGUCUGUCCCUGUAUUUCAUACAUU
Long non-coding RNA from Rana temporaria (common frog), 672 nucleotides. RefSeq lists it as uncharacterized. NCBI's taxonomy places the organism in Eukaryota, Metazoa, Chordata, Amphibia, Anura, Ranidae. The transcript has 2 exons. The record is from RefSeq and is a predicted model, not a curated record.